AACGAACGCUGGCGGCAGGCUUAACACAUGCAAGUCGAACGCCCCGCAAGGGGAGUGGCAGACGGGUGAGUAACGCGUGGGAACAUACCCUUUUCUACGGAAUAGCUCUGGGAAACUGGAAUUAAUACCGUAUACGCCCUACGGGGGAAAGAUUUAUCGGGGAAGGAUUGGCCCGCGUUGGAUUAGCUAGUUGGUGGGGUAAAGGCCUACCAAGGCGACGAUCCAUAGCUGGUCUGAGAGGAUGAUCAGCCACAUUGGGACUGAGACGCGGCCCAAACUCCUACGGGAGGCAGCAGUGGGGAAUAUUGGACAAUGGGCGCAAGCCUGAUCCAGCCAUGCCGCGUGAGUGAUGAAGGCCUUAGGGUUGUAAAGCUCUUUCACCGAUGAAGAUAAUGACGGUAGUCGGAGAAGAAGCCCCGGCUAACUUCGUG
RNAcentral lists this ribosomal RNA (431 nucleotides) under uncultured bacterium. RNAcentral's name for it is "partial 16S ribosomal RNA". It matches the Rfam family "Bacterial small subunit ribosomal RNA", at positions 29 to 507 of the family's 1533-position model. The record is from RNAcentral.